AUUGCGCCCCGACUUGAACGGAACUCCUUUUUUUUGCAUUUGAAAAAAAAGAGUGGGAGUGGAAGGCGGAAAUGUGC
RNAcentral lists this small RNA (77 nucleotides) under Halpernia frigidisoli. Its description in RNAcentral is "Flavo-1 RNA". It matches the Rfam family "Flavo-1 RNA". The record is from Rfam by way of RNAcentral. Lineage: Bacteria; Pseudomonadati; Bacteroidota; Flavobacteriia; Flavobacteriales; Weeksellaceae.